UUUAAAUACAACUAUAAAUUUCUGUGUUCAACUUUAAUCGUCCGUCUUAUUUAAAUUUUUUUAUGAUUAAUUUUUUAUUGUUAUUAGAUGAUAAAACAUGAAUAGUUUUAUUUUUUUUUAAUUUUUUUAAAUAAAAUGAUGAUUAAAGUUGGAUACGAAAACUCGUGACUGCGCUUGAA
Oryza punctata is the source of this 179-nucleotide non-coding RNA. The record is from Rfam. NCBI's taxonomy places the organism in Eukaryota, Viridiplantae, Streptophyta, Magnoliopsida, Poales, Poaceae.